Long non-coding RNA from Toxorhynchites rutilus septentrionalis, 481 nucleotides. RefSeq lists it as uncharacterized. The record is from RefSeq and is a predicted model, not a curated record. NCBI's taxonomy places the organism in Eukaryota, Metazoa, Arthropoda, Insecta, Diptera, Culicidae. The transcript is spliced from 3 exons.
GAAUAAAGCAUGAAACCGCUUGUCGCAGCAUUGCCGUUCGUGGUAAUUCGGUCUGGGAAGGCUGAACGGUUGCCCACUAAAUGGCAUCAUUUCUGCCAAAGAUGAUAUGUUUUCUGCCAACGCUAGUUUGGGUGUAGUUACACUUCCCACAAAUCCCGAUCUGCGCCUCACGUCACUGCAACUAUUACAUCAAUCAGGGUCAACCAGGUGUACCCACUCCAAGUUUUCGACCACCAACCAUUUCAUCGUUGCGAAAAGUAGCUGUUCUUGGCUCGGGGUAGAGAGCCGCUAGAACGGGGCUCUGGUUCAAGCUCGGAAAAAUUGGGCAUACUCCUGGUACAUCGAUAAAGAGAACAAGGCCUUGCCAUGUGAGUUUUAAGGAGGCCCGGCUAAGACUCAAAACUUCAUCCAUCAAUUGCAAAAAACAACGAUGCACCAGUAUCCAAGUCCCUGCGCCAACUCUUUGAAGCAACCUUCUGCC